This 425-nucleotide ribosomal RNA is filed under the name uncultured bacterium. RNAcentral's name for it is "partial 16S ribosomal RNA". It matches the Rfam family "Bacterial small subunit ribosomal RNA", at positions 354 to 796 of the family's 1533-position model. The record is from RNAcentral.
GUGAGGAAUUUUGCGCAAUGGGGGCAACCCUGACGCAGCGACGCCGCGUGGAGGACGAAGUCUUUCGGGAUGUAAACUCCUGUCAGUGGGGACGAUAAUGACGGUACCCACAGAGGAAGCACCGGCUAACUCCGUGCCAGCAGCCGCGGUAAGACGGAGGGUGCAAGCGUUGUUCGGAAUUACUGGGCGUAAAGCGUAUGUAGGCGGCAAGUUAAGUUCAAUGUUAAAGCCCACGGCUCAACCGAGGAGAUGCAUUGAAUACUGGCUAGCUAGAGCGUGUUAGAGGAAGACGGAAUUCCCAGUGUAGCGGUGAAAUGCGUAGAUAUUGGGAGGAACAUCGGUAGCGAAAGCGGUCUUCUGGGACAUACCUGACGCUGAGGUACGAAAGCGUGGGGAGCAAACGGGAUUAGAAACCCUGGUAGUCC